Molecule: long non-coding RNA, 387 nt
Filed under: Coturnix japonica (Japanese quail)
Lineage: Eukaryota; Metazoa; Chordata; Aves; Galliformes; Phasianidae
Description: lncRNA (ENSCJPG00005010617.1)
Source: RNAcentral
GUCCUUCAUUAUGUGAUGGAGAUUCAGUUACUCUUAAAGGAACUCUGAAUCCUGCUGCCUGAUGAAGUUCCAAUCUUCUAGUUGGAAAGGAGUAACAUAGAUGUUUAAGACACAUGCAGCUUAGAUGUAACACGUAAUAAAGUGUUGCCUUGCUAGGCAAACGUAUGAGAAUGAUGAAUUCAGUAGUACACGGGAAGAGGUCAGAUGCUGCAUUGGUAUCUUCCAUGAGCAAGGAAAUGCUGAACUUCAGCUCAGUAUAUCACUACUGAAGCUGUGCCCGGCCAUGAGAGAUGACAAGCAGUUGCUACCAGCCAAGGUAUUCCUGCAAAAGCAAAAGUACAUUUUGUGCAGGGUUAGAAGAUGAUGGGCUUGAUUAUGCUUAUGCCC